RNAcentral lists this ribosomal RNA (253 nucleotides) under uncultured bacterium. RNAcentral describes it as "partial 16S ribosomal RNA". It matches the Rfam family "Bacterial small subunit ribosomal RNA", at positions 524 to 776 of the family's 1533-position model. The record is from RNAcentral.
UACGUAGGGUGCAAGCGUUGUCCGGAAUUAUUGGGCGUAAAGAGCUCGUAGGCGGUUUGUCGCGUCUGCUGUGAAAUCUGGAGGCUCAACCUCCAGCCUGCAGUGGGUACGGGCAGACUAGAGUGCGGUAGGGGAGAUUGGAACUCCUGGUGUAGCGGUGAAAUGCGUAGAUAUCGAGAGGAACACCUGCGGCGAAGGCGGGUUGCUGGGCUGACACUGACGCUGAAGUGCGAAAGCUAGGGGAGCGAACGGG